CACGUAGGGCGCAAGCGUUGUCCGGAAUUAUUGGGCGUAAAGAGCUCGUAGGCGGUCUGUUACGUCUGCUGUGAAAACCCGGGGCUUAACCCUGGGCUUGCAGUGGAUACGGGCAGACUAGAGGCAGGUAGGGGAGAAUGGAAUUCCUGGUGUAGCGGUGGAAUGCGCAGAUAUCAGGAGGAACACCAAUAGCGAAGGCAGCUCGCUGGGACGUUACUGACACUGAGGCGCGAAAGCGUGGGGAGCGAACAGG
RNAcentral lists this ribosomal RNA (253 nucleotides) under uncultured bacterium. Its description in RNAcentral is "partial 16S ribosomal RNA". It matches the Rfam family "Bacterial small subunit ribosomal RNA", at positions 524 to 776 of the family's 1533-position model. The record is from RNAcentral.